UAAACCUCUUCCAGAGUAUCAAUUGGAGGGCAAGUCUGGUGCCAGCAGCCGCGGUAAUUCCAGCUCCAAUAGCGUAUAUUAAACUUGUUGCAGUUAAAAAGCUCGUAGUUGAAUUUCUGCUGUAUCGUUUUCCUCUGCUUGACAGUUGGAUUUCGUUACGGCUUAGUUGGGUUACAGCUCUUGUUACCCAACGUUUACUUUGAGAAAAUUAGAGUGCUUCAAGCAGGCUUUUGCCUUGAAUACUUUAGCAUGGAAUAAUGGAGUAGGACUUUGGUUCUAUUUUGUUGGUUUUAGGAGCCAGAGUAAUGGUUAAUAGGAACAGUUGGGGGCAUUCGUAUUUGACUGUCAGAGGUG
This 354-nucleotide ribosomal RNA is filed under the name Theileria cf. equi. Its description in RNAcentral is "SSU rRNA". It matches the Rfam family "Eukaryotic small subunit ribosomal RNA", at positions 526 to 913 of the family's 1831-position model. Lineage: Eukaryota; Apicomplexa; Aconoidasida; Piroplasmida; Theileriidae. The record is from RNAcentral.